This 642-nucleotide ribosomal RNA is filed under the name uncultured actinomycete. RNAcentral describes it as "bacterial SSU rRNA". It matches the Rfam family "Bacterial small subunit ribosomal RNA", at positions 232 to 885 of the family's 1533-position model. The record is from RNAcentral. Lineage: Bacteria; Bacillati; Actinomycetota; Actinomycetes; Actinomycetales.
CGCGGCCUAUCAGCUUGUUGGUGGGGUAAUGGCCUACCAAGGCGACGACGGGUAGCCGGCCUGAGAGGGUGACCGGCCACACUGGGACUGAGACACGGCCCAGACUCUUACGGGAGGCAGCAGUGGGGAAUAUUGCACAAUGGGCGAAAGCCUGAUGCAGCGACGCCGCGUGAGGGAUGACGGCCUUCGGGUUGUAAACCUCUUUCAGCAGGGACGAAGCGCAAGUGACGGUACCUGCAGAAGAAGCACCGGCUAACUACGUGCCAGCAGCCGCGGUAAUACGUAGGGUGCGAGCGUUGUCCGGAAUUAUUGGGCGUAAAGAGCUCGUAGGCGGUUUGUCGCGUCGGCCGUGAAAACUUGGGGCUUAACCCCGAGCCUGCGGUCGAUACGGGCAGACUUGAGUUCGGCAGGGGAGACUGGAAUUCCUGGUGUAGCGGUGAAAUGCGCAGAUAUCAGGAGGAACACCGGUGGCGAAGGCGGGUCUCUGGGCCGAUACUGACGCUGAGGAGCGAAAGCGUGGGGAGCGAACAGGAUUAGAUACCCUGGUAGUCCACGCCGUAAACGGUGGGUGCUAGGUGUGGGGGACUUCCACGUUCUCCGUGCCGCAGCUAACGCAUUAAGCACCCCGCCUGGGGAGUACGG